UACAGAGGUCUCAAGCGUUGUUCGGAAUCACUGGGCGUAAAGGGUGCGUAGGCGGCGCCGUAAGUCAGAUGUGAAAGCCCGGGGCUCAACCCCGGAAUUGCAUCCGAUACUGCGGUGCUUGAGAACUGGAGAGGAGUCUAGAAUUUUCGGUGUAGCAGUGAAAUGCGUAGAUAUCGAAAGGAAUACCAAAGGCGAAGGCCGGACUCUGGACAGUUUCUGACGCUGAGGCACGAAGGCCAAGGUAGCGAACGGG
Molecule: ribosomal RNA, 253 nt
Filed under: uncultured bacterium
Lineage: Bacteria
Description: partial 16S ribosomal RNA
Rfam family: Bacterial small subunit ribosomal RNA
Source: RNAcentral